UCUGCAACUCCUGGGCUCAAGCAGUCUGCCCACUUCACCCUCCCAAAGUGCUGGGAUUUCAGGCUAGAGCCACCAUGCCCAGCCCACAAGAUCUAAACGCUACUGUUGAAGCAAAAAGACUUGAAGACAGAAUUUGCCCUCCUAAUAUAAGCCCAUGGUAACCUGAACCUCCUUCACCCUAACUCUCAUCACAGUGUAUUGUGAUUGCUUAUUGAAGAUGAAAUUUGAUUUUCCUUUUUGAUGUUACUUCUCCAGCACAGUACCUGGUAUGUGGAAGGCACUCAAACUAGGGCCAACCUGGUGCCAGCUAACCUGGGACUAGUGCAAGCUCCUGAAAUUCACCUGGUCAAGGGACACAUGUUCACAGGAUCUCCUGGGGUUGUGUCACCAAAAAAAAAAAAAAAAAAAUUUCACCUGGUGUCUCUAGUCACCAUGAUUUUCUCUAAAAUGCCACACAGAAUUCUAUGUAUGGAAUUUUUUUCUUUUCUUUUUUCUUUUUCUUUUUUUUUUUUUUUUGAGACAGUCUGUCGCCAGUCUGGAGUGCAGUGGCGUGAUCUCGGCUCACUGCAGUCUCCUCCUCCCGGGUUCAAGCGGUUCUCCUGCCUCAGCCUCC
Molecule: long non-coding RNA, 613 nt
Filed under: Homo sapiens (human)
Lineage: Eukaryota; Metazoa; Chordata; Mammalia; Primates; Hominidae
Description: HSALNT0241572
Source: RNAcentral